UGUAUGGAAGUGUGUGGAUGGUGGGGCUGUUUUUUAUAGGUGCGGGCAAUGUAUGGAAGAGUGUGGAUGGUGGGGCUGUUUUUUAUAGGUGCGGGCAAUGUAUGGAAGAGUGUGGAUGGUGGGGCUGUUUUUUAUAGGUGCGGGCAAUGUAUGGAAGAGUGUGGAUUGUAUGAUUUGACAUUAGGUAAUGCAUGAGGUGAGAAUGUUAAACUAUGGCAAUAAGCAUUGUUUGAAAUGAAAAUAGAUCUAGGUGACUGUAUUAAAUAAAACGGGUCAUUGCAGUUGUAAUACGCUGAUGUGUCAGAUGCGGGUGGGGAUUUGCAGAUUCGUUAGAAAUAGCAGAAUUAUGACUAGUAGAUAUAACUCGUGAAAGGUUUCGGAUAAGAUCUUUUUUGUAAGGAGGCCGGAUUUUAUUUUCGUGUUUCAAUACAAUUUUUCUUUCGUAUGUUAUACGAGUAUUUUCCAAUUUCAAUUAAUGUGUCAUUUUAAGAAGUUUAGUUUCGCGAGUGAUAUUGGAGGUGUAUAGUGUGUCGACAUCGUUGAGACGACGAAUCUGAGACGUUAAAUUUAAAUGGGAAAUGGAGGGGGAUCUAUAACCUUGUCAAAAAUCUUAGCUUUUAAAAUUCUAUGGCGAUUUUUACAAAUGCCCACCAAUUUGAAAACUUCCCUGAAUUCCGUAUCUUACUGGGUCCAACUUUAAAAAAAAAAGUCUCUGAUUUAGACAUACUUCUAGAACUGUUCAAAUUAAUGGACGUUUUAUGGGAUAUUGGAUAAAAGCUUUACAAAUUUUCAUCAAUGAAAUAUUAAACCAGAAACUAUCUAAAUCAACUGAACCGCUAAAAAAGUUGAUAGAAUAUAGGGAAUUCCUUGCAGUUGGAUCUCACUGAAGUUGACAGUUGCGGUAAUAUUUUUAGAACUUUUAUAAGAUUUGAUAUUACUUAUGAAUUAAAUAUGUAUUGCAGAAUACAAUAUUCAUUUUUCAGUAAGUUCUCGUUACUUAGACAGGCAACAUUUUUUGUUUCGAAAUCAAAACUCAUUAAAUGGAAAUUGCAAAGGCUAUAAAACGGUUAACGUCUUUUGGGUUUCUUUUUAUUAUUGCACUCGCCCACUCUGACUCAAUCUAAAGUAAAAUUUACUAAUUACUUGUUAAGAUUUGGAUAUAUCUUUAAUUCAAUCAUAAGACAACUCCGAAAUUGACUUUCACUUAUUUUCUUAAUUCGUAUAUAUUUCUAACCGUCUUAAAACUCAACAAUUCCCUUUUCAUGAUCAAAUAUAUAUCUCGGAUUAUUUUUCAUAAAUAUUUUCUUUUUCAUUAAUGUUCCGUAACCGAAAUUUUAUGACCCUGGGAUAUAAUGCAAAAAUUAGUCUUAAAGGCCUCAUUGUUUUAAUAUUGCAUAUAGACUGUCUUAAAGCAUGACGGAAGAGUGCAUCUUGCUUGCCAUAGAAGAGCUUAAUCCAACCUCGAUAUCUAUCGCCAUAAACCGAAUAGUAUUUGAGCUUCUAGCACGAUACAAGCUAUUGUUUUAUUUAUUAACUAGAUCCACUUGGGAAAACUAAUUACCUCAUCGUCAAUUUCGAAAUUAUUUUAUAUGCAUUAUAUAGCCAGAUCUGUCAUAUAACAAUUCAUGUAUCAAAAUUCGGAUUGAACGUGCGUUGAACAAAUGCAUCGAAUUUAGAUUACUUUAUUGAAAUUAGCUUAAACGGAAGUAUUUAUUGAACAGAAACUUUUUGCUGGGAUAGUAAAUUUAUCGGAUGGAACAUUCAAGAUAUUUAAAAAAUGGGAUAAGUUUAAAUUGUAUCGGAUAUAAAUAUAACAAUUCGGACAAAACUAGUAAUAAACUGAUCUCUUGACUAUCGGUCUCAAGAAUGAUUGCGACGUCUAUUUAGAAUUAAAACGAAUUAUUGAACUGCUGUCUUUGAAACUUAUUUUGAUAAAUCCACUGUAAAGAUUCUGUUGGACCAUUUCAGAUAUAUCCAGCUUUUUUUCAACUUUAUGGGAUUUCACUUUUUAUUGAAAGAUUCAAAAUUUACUUAAUGAUUAGUAACUUUUAAUUCCUUAAAGAAUUGAGUUUCCUUCUAUUAAAUUCAAGAAUUUAAAAUGUCUUAAAUGAUUCGAAAGAUUUUAAAAUUCCUCGGAUCUGAACAUCUGAUUCUGAAAGAGAAGUGAUGUCUUCCUCUCAAAAUUUUUCUCAAAGGUGGUAUCUGAUUAGUAAGGAUGCCACGGCAAUUAUAUGGACAAACUUGGUGUAGGUUCUGUGUGAUAGAGGAGAGCAAUAAGGUAAUUUUUCUGAGCUAUCUUCGAUUAAUGAAUAGGGAGUGAAAUCGCUGAGAAUCUGCUCAAGUCCCAAAAGUUAAAAAUAUAUCUUAAAAAGCGGAUGGGCAUUGAAGUUAUUUUCAACUGAAUGUUUUUAUAAUGGAAAUAUUUUGAUUCGAAAUUAUUUUCGAAGAAUGCUGGUGGGAGAUAAACGAACACCCUUCACUUUUGUGUCUACUCCGAUAAACAGAAGACGCUGUCAAAUAAUUCAACGAUAUAAACUCGCUUGCAGUUAUCGAUUGCAGAAAAAUGCUGCAGAUAUUCCUUAUUGAUGGUAUCAUUGUCCAUAUGGAUGACCAUUAUUCAUCUGCAGUGACUGUCAUCUCAAUUCGAGAAACGAAUCCAAUCGACAUUGGCUAUUAUGGAUGAACAGGAAAUUUUCUCAGAAUAUCGAAUCGAACUAGGUAUUAAAUGGUUGUCUUAUCCCCUUAUGGUUUCAUUGCUGGAUAAUGGAAGUCGUCAAUCACCGGUAGCAAGACUUCCUCGGUACUGCAAGCAUGUUCGUACGAAAUGGGCUAUGCUGGAUGCGCAGGCACUCUUUCCUCAAUGGUAUCUGUGAACUGUCAAUUUAAAAAAAAUAAACAAGGUUUCUUGAUAUCUUUAAACCGAAGAAAACCUUGUGGCUUCUACUAAGCAACAUUUUAUCUUCAACUACCACCAGGAUUGAAACAUCAUGGAUUCUUGCAAGUAAAUUUUGGUCGAUGAUGAAACGGAUUUAAUUGACAAAAUAUUAAAUUGCAAAAACUAUCAAAGUUCAUGCAUGAUAAAAACUAUUUCUGUGUUGAGAAUUCUUUCAUAUCAAACGCUUCUGCAAUUGGAAAUGUGAUCCUUCAGGUAGUCGGAUUAUUUUUAGAAAUCGACGAAUCUUUUAAAAUAUUUAUGGUUCGUAUUUCUAUUGCCAAUGAUAUUGAACGUUUGUCUAUUUUGUAGAAUUCUUAAGAUGUCAUACAAAAAAUUCUCCUUUGUUUAUGACAGCUUGAAUAGUUGGUGUUGCUUCCAAACGGAUGUUAAUAAACCCAUGAAAUAAACGGAAGUUUGAUGUUGCAUACAGAAUCUAAUUAUAAUGGUUUUGUAAUAUUUAAAACGGGCAUUUCUCUUCUCUCAAUAUUUCGUUUUAAUUCAUUGCUCCGAAGUUUUGAUUUGGAUAGCACUACAGGUUAUGAUGAAUAUCAAUAUUCAUUUUCAAUUCUUUUUAGAAUAAAUUCUUUUUGAAGUCUCUUUAUUGUGAAAUGUGAUCAUUGGCUUAGCGAGUUAAGUGGCGCUCGAAAUAGCUUUCUUUGUCCCAAUCAUUUAUGGUUGAGCAAAUAUAUAUAAUAUAUUAGUACCCGACCUGGCAUUUUCCCCCCUUUCAUGAUACUCUAGUUCGAAAAAUAAUUGCAUUAAUGUUUUGUUCUGAUGGCGCCAGGGGCACCGCCUAUCCCCCUUGCUUUGGUCACUACGCCCCUGUGAAUUUAUGUAUUAAACAAUGUUUAAAAUUUGCUAUGCUUGCUUCCCUGAAGAAUUGAAAUCGUAAUUGUUUUACUCUUCCGCAAUUAAAAUAUUGUGUCUAAGAAAACUCUAUUUAUAAUCUUGUCUUAAUAAGAUACUGUUUAUAAAAUUCAACUUCUCUUUGUAAGCAAUUCUCAUUUACCUAUCAAUUGUAGUAAAAGUUGUUCUGUAAUUGUAAUUACGGUGGGAAAAAAUUCUCUCGCCUAUUUACUUUCGUAAUCCAAUCUUUCAUAAUUUAUUAAUGAAUGUCACUGGAGUGAUUUGUUUAUUUUAAUGGUCAACUGCCAUUCUAAAUGCUCUUAAUUUUUUUUCCAUCAGAUAGUUUUACUCAAUGAAUCGGCAAAAUUUCAUGGCUGUCGUUUCCAUUUACCUAGUAAUCUUUUCAUUUAACACAAAGUGGGCUGAAGUGAAAUUUUAUUUGUUCAGUUCUAGAACAUUUUGCUAUUGUCAAAUAUUCCAUUCAACCAAAAUAUUCCACUUAUUUGUAUAAUUCAAUAAUUGGCUCAUUACAGUAUUUCUCUAAAUUUUGUUUGUUACAAAAAUAUAUAAGCAAGGUUGUUGCUAUCUGUAUCUGAAGAAUAUCGUAAACAAGACAAUGAAGCGAAAUCUAUUUGCUUCCAUUAGUUGGCUCGAUUUAAGAAUUUAAUUGUUCAUUAAGUUCACUUUAUGAUCAAGUUUCUGUAAUAUGUGGUGUUUAUCGAGGGAGGAGGGAAUAUCUGUGCCAAAUGGGAAAGAUGAAGCAAUGUCUAUAUAACUUGUAUAUAAAGUCAAUGUCAUUUAUAACUUAUAUAUAAACUGUACUUCUAAAAGAUUAUACUGUAUAUGCGUAUAUACUUGUAAGACUUUGUUGUGCAUAUUUUCUGGAUUAUUGGUAACAAAUAUUGACAAUCCUUAAAAGGUAGUAUAGAGCUGCACUUGAAAUUGUGUUAUCAAUUGAUCAUUUUAUAAUUGCAUUUUUAAAUAUUCCCUUCUUACUGCAAUAGUGUCAGAUUCGUGCAUCAAUUUCCAGAAAGUUUCAUUUAAAUCUAUAUUUAAAAUAAUUUAAUGCAAGAAAAGUUUAUUUGUACAUGCAUAAAUAUUUCAUGUUCCCUUCCCAUUUUUAUGUGGAUGGAAAUUACUAUUAGUAAUAG
Molecule: long non-coding RNA, 4932 nt
Organism: Argiope bruennichi
Lineage: Eukaryota; Metazoa; Arthropoda; Arachnida; Araneae; Araneidae
Exons: 3
Source: RefSeq, a predicted model, not a curated record